Ictidomys tridecemlineatus (thirteen-lined ground squirrel) is the source of this 494-nucleotide non-coding RNA. Lineage: Eukaryota; Metazoa; Chordata; Mammalia; Rodentia; Sciuridae. The record is from RefSeq and is a predicted model, not a curated record.
UGGAAAUUUAAAUAAAAGGUCGAACACGUGCGUUCACUGGGAAGUAUUGACAUGGGUGUUACAUCACCAGCAGCCAAUCAGAUAACUCCAGUCAUGUUUAUACUUCUACAAACCACCUUGUGAUGCCAGUUUUGCCACAAAUUCUAUGUGAUUUUACUGCAGCACCACAUAACCAUCAGCUGAAGCCUUCUGUGCCGGAUCACCUUGGAAUGCGGGGAGAGAGGUCACUGGAGAAGGGGCCACUUGGACCCUCCAGGAGUUGAACUCUUUUUCAUCUCACCAGGAACACGUCUGGGCCUCAUCACCUCCCUCCCUGCUGGCCUGAUACCUAAAAGCUAAAAUCUCAGUUACAAAGGGCCAGAUGUCUAGGGCUGAAAAUUCAAGUCCCUGAGAACAAACAGGACAAAAACAAUCACAAUCCACAUUUCUCAGCUGCUCGGCUUGGUGUGCUUCACUCUUAGUGCUUUUAAUCUAAUAAAUGUGGUACCUUCCUA